Artibeus jamaicensis (Jamaican fruit-eating bat) is the source of this 3247-nucleotide RNA transcript. It is a transcript of the gene named fasciculation and elongation protein zeta 2, with no coding region annotated. The record is from RefSeq and is a predicted model, not a curated record. The transcript is spliced from 10 exons. Lineage: Eukaryota; Metazoa; Chordata; Mammalia; Chiroptera; Phyllostomidae.
GGGCGGGGCUCGCGACUGCUGCGGGCGGCGAUGGCGGCGGACGGGGACUGGCAGGAUUUCUACGAGUUCCAGGAGCCGGCCGGGACCCUCCAGGACCAGGAGAACUGUAACGCGAGUCCCGAGGCCGGGGCAGGGCCCGGCGGGGCAGGCGACGGCUUCGCAGCGCUGGCCCGCAGCUUGGAGGAGAAACUGAGCCUGUGUUUCCGCCCCUCGGGUCUGGGCGCCGAGCCCCCGAGAGCGGUCGUGCGGCCCAUCACGGAGGGCAGCCUCCUCCAGGGGGACGAGAUUUGGAACGCCCUGACGGACAACUAUGGGAAUGUGAUGCCCGUGGACUGGAAGUCGUCCCACACCAGGACCUUGCACUUGCUCACUCUGAACCUCGCAGAAAAAGGGGUAAGUGACAGCUUGCUCUUCGAUACAUCAGAUGAGGAGGAGUUGAGAGAACAGCUGGACAUGCACUCGAUCAUCGUCUCCUGUGUGAAUGAGGAGCCCCUCUUCACUGCAGAUCAGGUUAUUGAAGAAAUUGAAGAAAUGAUGCAGGAAUCCCCUGACCCGGAUGACGAUGAAACGCCCACGCAGUCAGAUCGGCUUUCGAUGCUUUCCCAGGAGAUUCAGACUCUUAAGAGGUCUAGUACGAGCAGUUACGAAGAGAGAGUAAAAAGGCUCUCAGUAUCUGAGUUAAAUGAGCUCCUGGAAGAAAUCGAGACUGCCAUUAAGGAAUACUCUGAAGAGCUGGUGCAGCAGUUGGCCUUGCGAGAUGAACUGGAGUUUGAAAAGGAAGUGAAAAACAGCUUUAUUUCUGUUCUCAUUGAAGUGCAAAACAAACAGAAAGAGCACAAAGAAACAGCCAAAAAAAAAAAGAAACUCAAGAAUGGCAGCUCUCAGAAUGGGAAGAAUGAGAGGAGUCAUAUGCCGGGCACACGCUUCAGCAUGGAAGGGAUCUCAAAUGUCAUUCAGAAUGGCCUCCGCCACACCUUUGGAAAUUCAGGUGGAGAGAAACAGUACUUGACAACAGUUAUUCCUUAUGAGAAAAAGAAUGGACCACCAUCUGUUGAAGAUCUCCAAAUAUUAACAAAAAUUCUUCGUGCCAUGAAAGACGACAGUGAAAAAGUUCCGAGCUUGUUAACCGAUUAUAUACUGAAAGUCCUGUGUCCUACAUAGGACAGCAUCACUUCAGGAGCAGUUCUGCCUUUUGUGGACUACAAGCUAGAUUUCCUACAGCAUUCCUCUGAACGCUGGCUACGUCGCCUUCCUGCUAUUGGGAACUCAGCACACUUGAACUUGGUGCUAGCUUCUUCCCCUUACUCUCCCACACACUGUCUGCCACCACAGAGUGCGAGCUGGCCAGACCCUGAGUAGCCUCCUCACGGUAAGGAGGGGGCGGGGGGCCUGUGGGACGCUGUCCGCAGCUGUGGCUGCUGGGACUCUGGCAGGCCGUCGCCCGGACAGACUGACAACCAGAGGACGGUUUCCUUCCUCCUCCCAGAUGUGAGUCUUGGAAAGUUAACACUGUGUGAGAUUUAAGAUUGAAAGUGUUGAUUUGUGAGAACCAAACUGCAAACCCUCCCCUUGCAGCCUUGGUUUUCUGAAGAAAACAGAACAAACUGUACGAGAGCACACGCCAUGUGCCUGCCAUAGAUCAGUUUUAUUCUUUAGGAAAUCAUGUUUGUUUUUCUUUUACAAGAGCACAACAGGAACCAAAGUAAAAGAGGAAUAGAUACAGCACUCAGGAUAAAUCAUAUCUUUAAAAAUAAAAAAAUUUACACCUUGUCCUAUAUCCUGUUAGUAUUUUCAUAAUAUGGCCAUGAUUGAAAAAACAAAAAGCAAGCAUUUACAAUUUUUUUGAUAAAGACUUUUUAUGCCAGGAAUGGAUUAAUUGUCAAAAAAUUUUAAUAAUAAUUAGGCUGAUGCAAGUCUAUUUUGGUAACAUAUCAUUAACAAAUUUAUUUUGGAAAUAGAUAAAAAUAUUGCCCCUUGAUAAUAAAUCUUUUUUUCUUUGAUGCAAACAGCUAGAACACCUUUUUUUCUUUUUCUUUUUUGAUAUUCUAAGACAAAGAAAAUGGUUAAUCUUCAGAUUAAUAAAUUAGGUCAUUAUAAUAAUAAAUUAAUUUUUUUUAAAGUUCAGCAACCUCUGUCCAAGUAUUUACAACAAUACUUGAAAGUUCCUUUACAAAACAGAACACAUUUUCUUUUCACAUUAAGCAUACUGGGUAUCUGUCUUUCACAAAAGAAAAAAAUCAAUGCACAAAUGGGUAAUUAGUAUAAAAGUGCUAAGAGCUGUUUGAAAAGUUAACACUAUAGUAUAUAGUCAGUCAUAUUUGAGGCAAACUACAACAAACUUCCAGCUUAUUAUGGACAAUAUUCCAGUAGUUGUUCCAAACAGUUGUUUGAAGGAAAACAGAAAGGAGACCCAGGAGCUGAUUUGGUGACGUGCACAGACUGCCACCGGGGGUCCUGGCAGGCGGAGUGAACUGAAAAGCAGCUGAAAGCAAAUCCAAACGCGGCAGAGGAUUUAGUCAAGGAAUGCCUGCUCCGCAGCAGGUGCGGUGCUGCCUGCCCACGUGUGUGCGACACUCUCACACACACACUCACACGUGUAUUUCUUCCCCAUUCAACUGCAGGUAGGAUGAGAUUUUUGUGUUUAAAAUUUGUAAGUGAUCAAAAGCAUUGCUAUGGAAUGCCUGUUUGUCUUUGUUCUGGUUAAAAUCUCAUAAAAAUACAUUCAACAGGAAAACAUAAAUUGUAUGUGUAUAAAUAUAUAUGUUUAUAUAUAUUAUAUACACACGCACACAAAUACUUUUGUUUUUUUUGAAGCAUAAGAUAGUUACAUAAAUAUUCCUAUAAUUGCUAAAGUUUAAAGAGGCAUAUUUUUUUUUGAGCUUCAACAAAGGUGCUUGAAUAAUAUACAAUUAAAAUGAAGUAGUUUCUAUUUUGUAGAAUCAGUAUAUAAUAAGGAAAAAAAUCUCCAAAGUCUUUUUUUAAAAAAAGUUUCUUCUUAAGCUAGAGCUUCAACGAAAACUAGGAACCACCAACGAUCUAACAGAACAAAGCAACAACGAACAAGGAAGGACAGCCCCUGGGCGUCCCCUGCCUGCCCCGCUGUCCUCGGAGAAGCUCCAGUGCUCACACCGAGAAAGGACUCUAGGUCCUGUGUGUCUGCUGAUUGGCUUGGAAGAAAACGAAAGCAGCAAAAGGUCUAACUGUAUCUAUUCUUGGUAACCCGCCUGAGAGAAAUGCUGCCCUCACA